AAGUAAAAGGGAGACGUUGAAAUGCGUUUAGUAUCUGGGCAUCUUAAACGUAAGGAGUCAGUGAUGCAACCGUCCCAAAAUG
RNAcentral lists this non-coding RNA (82 nucleotides) under Paenibacillus sp. Its description in RNAcentral is "c-di-GMP-II sequence". It matches the Rfam family "Cyclic di-GMP-II riboswitch aptamer". Lineage: Bacteria; Bacillati; Bacillota; Bacilli; Caryophanales; Paenibacillaceae. The record is from RNAcentral.